This 253-nucleotide ribosomal RNA is filed under the name uncultured bacterium. Its description in RNAcentral is "partial 16S ribosomal RNA". It matches the Rfam family "Bacterial small subunit ribosomal RNA", at positions 524 to 776 of the family's 1533-position model. The record is from RNAcentral.
UACAGAGGGUGCAAGCGUUAAUCGGAAUUACUGGGCGUAAAGCGCACGCAGGCGGUUGGUUAAGUCAGAUGUGAAAGCCCCGGGCUCAACCUGGGAAUUGCAUUUGAAACUGGCUAACUAGAGUAUGUGAGAGGGGGGUAGAAUUCCAAGUGUAGCGGUGAAAUGCGUAGAGAUUUGGAGGAAUACCGAUGGCGAAGGCAGCCCCCUGGGAUAACACUGACGCUCAUGCACGAAAGCGUGGGGAGCAAACAGG